This 1383-nucleotide ribosomal RNA is filed under the name uncultured bacterium. Its description in RNAcentral is "bacterial SSU rRNA". It matches the Rfam family "Bacterial small subunit ribosomal RNA". The record is from RNAcentral.
UUUGAUCAUGGCUCAAGACGAAACGCUGGCGGCGUGCUUAACACAUGCAAGUCGAACGAUGAAGCGGUGCUUGCACCGUGGAUUAGUCGGCGAACGGGUGAGUAAUACGUGAGUGACCUACCUUUGACUCUGGGAUAAGCCUGGGAAACUGGGUCUAAUACCGGAUACGACCAAUCUCUGCAUGGGGUGUUUGGUGGAAAGCGUUAUGGAGUGGUUUUAGAUGGGCUCACGGCCUAUCAGCUUGUUGGUGAGGUAAUGGCUUACCAAGGCGACGACGGGUAGCCGGCCUGAGAGGGUGACCGGCCACACUGGGACUGAGACACGGCCCAGACUCCUACGGGAGGCAGCAGUGGGGAAUAUUGCACAAUGGGCGCAAGCCUGAUGCAGCGACGCCGCGUGAGGGAUGACGGCCUUCGGGUUGUAAACCUCUGUUAGCAUCGAAGAAGCGAAAGUGACGGUAGGUGCAGAGAAAGCGCCGGCUAACUACGUGCCAGCAGCCGCGGUAAUACGUAGGGCGCGAGCGUUGUCCGGAAUUAUUGGGCGUAAAGAGCUUGUAGGCGGUUGGUCGCGUCUGCUGUGAAAGGCCGGGGCUUAACUCCGGUUUUGCAGUGGGUACGGGCUAACUAGAGUGCAGUAGGGGAGACUGGAAUUCCUGGUGUAGCGGUGGAAUGCACAGAUAUCAGGAGGAACACCGAUGGCGAAGGCAGGUCUCUGGGCUGUAACUGACGCUGAGAAGCGAAAGCAUGGGGAGCGAACAGGAUUAGAUACCCUGGUAGUCCAUGCCGUAAACGUUGGGCACUAGGUGUGGGGGACAUUCCACGUUUUCCGCGCCGUAGCUAACGCAUUAAGUGCCCCGCCUGGGGAGUACGGCCGCAAGGCUAAAACUCAAAGGAAUUGACGGGGGCCCGCACAAGCGGCGGAGCAUGCGGAUUAAUUCGAUGCAACGCGAAGAACCUUACCAAGGCUUGACAUGCAUUAGAUCGCGUCAGAGAUGGCGUUUCCCUUCGGGGCUGGUGUACAGGUGGUGCAUGGUUGUCGUCAGCUCGUGUCGUGAGAUGUUGGGUUAAGUCCCGCAACGAGCGCAACCCUCGUUCUAUGUUGCCAGCGGUUCGGCCGGGGACUCAUAGGAGACUGCCGGGGUCAACUCGGAGGAAGGUGGGGAUGACGUCAAAUCAUCAUGCCCCUUAUGUCUUGGGCUUCACGCAUGCUACAAUGGCCGGUACAGAGGGUUGCGAUACUGUGAGGUGGAGCUAAUCCCUUAAAGCCGGUCUCAGUUCGGAUUGGGGUCUGCAACUCGACCCCAUGAAGUCGGAGUCGCUAGUAAUCGCAGAUCAGCAACGCUGCGGUGAAAUACGUUCCCGGGCCUUGUACACACCGCCCGUC